This 253-nucleotide ribosomal RNA is filed under the name uncultured bacterium. RNAcentral describes it as "partial 16S ribosomal RNA". It matches the Rfam family "Bacterial small subunit ribosomal RNA", at positions 524 to 776 of the family's 1533-position model. The record is from RNAcentral.
UACGUAGGUGGCAAGCGUUGUCCGGAUUUACUGGGCGUAAAGAGCGCGCAGGCGGUCGGAUAAGUCGAAUGUGAAAGCCCCCGGCUCAACUGGGGAGGGUCAUUCGAUACUGUUCGACUCGAAGGCAGGAGAGGGAAGUGGAAUUCCCGGUGUAGUGGUGAAAUGCGUAGAUAUCGAGAGGAACACCAGUGGCGAAGGCGAGUCUCUGGACGACUCCUGACACUGAGGCACGAAAGCCAGGGGAGCAAACAGG